AUACCUUUCUCGGCCUUUUGGCUAAGAUCAAGUGUAGUAUCUGUUCUUAUCAGUUUAAUAUCUGAUACGAGGGUCAUCGACCCUCACGAUAUUAAUCUUAUUUCUUUCACGGGUGUGAGUCCAAUGGAGUAGCUUGCUGCUUCGGACUUGCCAGUGUCGCCUUGGUAUUGCACUAACUCCUUGGCCGGCGCAGCCCUC
Marchantia polymorpha subsp. polymorpha is the source of this 198-nucleotide small nuclear RNA. It matches the Rfam family "U2 spliceosomal RNA". From Rfam's summary of the family: U2 is a small nuclear RNA (snRNA) component of the spliceosome (involved in pre-mRNA splicing). The record is from Rfam. NCBI's taxonomy places the organism in Eukaryota, Viridiplantae, Streptophyta, Marchantiopsida, Marchantiales, Marchantiaceae.